CACGAAGCUUAAGGAGCUACUUAUUAUAAGUUAUUAGACUAUUCAUGGUGUUGCAGAACUUUAAAUAAUGUUAAGUAGAGGCGAAAGGCUUGGCACAUCUAGCGAUAUCUUGUUUUUUGGAAAAUGUAUAUAGUACGUAAACAAUUAAGUGGCGGUCAGGUCGCUUAAAAAGAUAAAAUAUUGUUUUGCGUGUGUAAAGUAUAAAGACUAUUAUUUUAUUAAUUUACGAUUUAUGUAUUAUGUUUAUCUCAGUUACCAAAAGGUAUUAAAUCGUGUGAAAUAACCAUAAUGUUACUAUUAGUAAUUGUUAAAUACCUCUCAUGAACUCGGCAAAUAGUUUCUCAACUGUUUAUCAAAAACAUAGUCAUGUGGAAAGGUAUGUGGUAACUUCUGCUCAAUGAAAUAAAUAGCUGCAGUACUCUGACUGUGCUAAGGUAGCGCAAUCAAUUGACUUUUAAUUGAAGUCCUGAAUGAAAGAAUGUAUGGGGAACGACUUUAUUAGAGAUUGGUCAUGAAAUUAACUAGUAAGUGCAAAAGCUUACAUAUUAACAACAGACGAGAAGACCCUAGAAAUUUUAAAGAACAAGAGGUUUGCGUACUUUUUGUUGGGGCAACAAAGUAACAUAUAACUUACUUGUGUGACUAGAAAAGCGUUUUGGGUAAGAUGAAAUUACUCUAGGGAUAACAGCAUAAUUCAUAAAGUUUAUGACCUCGAUGUUGGACUAGGGUGUGGUUGUUUAGAA
This 743-nucleotide ribosomal RNA is filed under the name Thersites novaehollandiae. Its description in RNAcentral is "partial 16S ribosomal RNA". It matches the Rfam family "Bacterial large subunit ribosomal RNA", at positions 715 to 2557 of the family's 2925-position model. The record is from RNAcentral. Lineage: Eukaryota; Metazoa; Mollusca; Gastropoda; Stylommatophora; Camaenidae.